This 349-nucleotide long non-coding RNA is filed under the name Homo sapiens (human). Its description in RNAcentral is "HSALNT0383582". Lineage: Eukaryota; Metazoa; Chordata; Mammalia; Primates; Hominidae. The record is from RNAcentral.
AAUCAGGUGUGUCCACACUUUGAUCUUUAUCUUGGAGAUUCUUUUACAUUAUGAAUUCUAGAACAGUGGUAAGUGGUAGCUUCUACAAACAGAAAUUUACUGCCAAUGAAAUUAAAUGUGUGGCUACAACAUCAAACAACCAGAAUUUAAGAAUUAUUACAGAACAGAAUAAAGUGAGGGUCUGAAGAAUUAUCCAUAAAGCAUGAUCCUUUCUAGGAGAUUAGAAAGAAUCCUGAUUUCUUGCUUCUUAUCAACAAUGUAGAACUUUCUUCUGGUUCUUUCCUUGUACAAGGUAAGCAGUGUGAACCUUUGAAAGGUCAUUAUGAACCUCCAGUUAACCUUCCAGCAA